CAACGGGAACGAAAUAUUUUUUAUAUCUCUAUACUUCCAAACUAUAGGAAAAAAAGUUUGGAAGUAAGAGAAUAUUUUCCUCGUAUUUAAAUUUUUAAAUUUAAAAGCUCUUUAUGUUAAUUAGUUAAUAUUUUCAAAUAGAAGAUAUCUUUUUUUUUGUUUAUUAUAUAAAAAUAGGUUUUUAAAGAAUUCUGGCGGAGCCUGUGCCAGCCGCCGCGGUUAUACAGGCAGAGUAAAAAAAUUUUUAUUAAAUUAAAUAUUAAUUUUGUUUUUUAAAAAAAUAUUUAGGUGAAAUUAUUAUUUUAUGUAAAUAAAUAAUAUUUAGAAAAUUUGUAAAAAAAAGUGGGAUUAGAUACCCUAUUAUUACAUAAUGGGAAAUUGGGAGUAUCUUAAAGGUUGAUAAAACUAAAUGAAAUGGCGGUAUUUUAAGCUUUUUAGAGGAAUUUAUUCUUUGAUUGAUAAAGCACAAAUAUCUUACUUAAUUUGGUUAAGACAGUUUGUAUAUCGCUAUCAUUUUAUAAUGUUGUUAGGCUAUUAUAUAGAUUGAUUAUUGUUAAGAAUGUUAGGUCAAAAUGCAGCGAAAAAUUAAGUUUGAAAUAAAUUACGUUGAUUAUUAUCCAGUUCUUUUGAAAAAAUUUUUAGGAUUUAAUAGUAAAUUUAAAUUAUAAUGUUAUAUUGAAUUAAGCUCUAAAAUAUGUACAUAUCGCCCGUCGCUCUCAUGUAUGAGAUAAGUCGUAACAAAGUAAAUGUACCGGAAGGUGCCUUUA
RNAcentral lists this non-coding RNA (767 nucleotides) under Alectorobius capensis. The record is from RNAcentral. Lineage: Eukaryota; Metazoa; Arthropoda; Arachnida; Ixodida; Argasidae.